UGGGAUCGAACAAGCAGGAGAAAAAGGGGACAAACCCCUUUUGAUCUAAAAUCAACUAAUUGGAAAGGAAAUUCAAGGACAAACUAGUGCAUGAACCCCAAUUCUUGAUCAUCUAAGCUUUCUUAACAAACAGGAUAAAGGAAGAAGGUUCGAGUCACACAAAGCAAGAAGGAAGUCAAGACCGAGGUAAGGCUCAGCUUUGGGUACUUGCGACGCUCGAAACGAACACAUUAGCACUUCAUGCCGCGACACGCUUCCGAAUCUUCAUGUAAUAAAUGGGUCGAUCUUGUGGCUAUAAACUUUUAAGUAUGUUUUGUUAAAUCUAUUAGUUGAAAACUUAUGAUUGUACAACUUUUGUAAACAUCCAAUCUUGUAUAAACUACUAGAAAUGGGUAACCUUUUAUGUUAAACAAUGUUUUCCUAA
Molecule: long non-coding RNA, 424 nt
Filed under: Helianthus annuus (common sunflower)
Lineage: Eukaryota; Viridiplantae; Streptophyta; Magnoliopsida; Asterales; Asteraceae
Description: hypothetical non coding rna
Source: RNAcentral